Molecule: ribosomal RNA, 253 nt
Filed under: uncultured bacterium
Lineage: Bacteria
Description: partial 16S ribosomal RNA
Rfam family: Bacterial small subunit ribosomal RNA
Source: RNAcentral
UACGUAGGGAGCGAGCGUUAUCCGGAUUUAUUGGGUGUAAAGGGUGCGUAGACGGGAGAAUAAGUUAGUUGUGAAAUCCCUCGGCUUAACUGAGGAACUGCAACUAAAACUAUUUUUCUUGAGUACUGGAGAGGAAAGUGGAAUUCCUAGUGUAGCGGUGAUAUGCGUAGAUAUUAGGAGGAACACCAGUGGCGAAGGCGACUUUCUGGACAGAAACUGACGUUGAGGCACGAAAGUGUGGGGAGCAAACAGG